CAGGUCUAAGAAUGGUAGAUGCUCAGUAUAACUUAAACGAGCAACCAAAUGAAGGCAAUUUUGCAACUGGUUUUGAAUGUUAUAUUCUGCUGAAGAAAGAUGGUAAAACCAUUUGUCGGACACGAUGCCUUAAUCCACUUAUUCAAAUGCCUCUUGUUUGGACCAUAUCUAAUAUAGUUUGACAAAAGCCA
Camellia sinensis is the source of this 191-nucleotide non-coding RNA. NCBI's taxonomy places the organism in Eukaryota, Viridiplantae, Streptophyta, Magnoliopsida, Ericales, Theaceae. The record is from RefSeq and is a predicted model, not a curated record.